AUUUGCUGAGGGCAUUUGCUCAGGACACUCCAGCUCCACUAGCCUUUUCCAGCUCCUCCAGCACUACGCUGACCUCCUUCCAACUCAUCCAACACAUCAAACUACUUCCUGCCUCAGAGCCUUCCCUCUGCUUGGACAUCUUUUUCUCCAUUUCUUGCUUGACCAACUUGUUUCUACUCAACUUCCAGAUUCCUGUUUUAAGGUUGGUUUUAAGAGCAGCCUUCUGAGAUCCUCCCAAGGUCAAGGGUUAGUCACCUGGUAAGAAGCUGCCAAUUGCAAAUAAGAGUGUGCACUUGCUGGAUGUCUUCUGUUUGCUCUCUUGACCCACCUUCUACCAUUCCCCACCUUCUUCUUUGCCUCCGGAAGGGAGCUUUCUGGACUGCACCAACAAGCUACUUUGUCCUCUGGCUUGUCCUCGGAUUCAGUCAGUGGGAGGUACCCACAAGGUGACUUAGAAGGCAGAAGAGGAAUGAGCACUUGGUCAUGUAAACAGAUCAUUGUCGUUUUCAAUGUGAAGUUACUUGGCUGCCUUGGAAAAAAGUUUAAUCAUUGGGAUACUGCUUCAGCAUUUUCUCCAAGAAGUUCAUUCACAAGGCUAGGCCAAGAGGGAGGCAGAGCAAGACAGCUGGAUAGAAGCCUCCACCAAUCACCCUGCUCACAGCAACACCAAAAUGAACAAUUAUCCAUAAAAAAAAAAGGAACUUAACAAGAACCAAAAGUCAGUAAACAAGCACUCGCGCUGAAAAAGAUAAACUAUCACUGUACAAUGUGGGAUGACAAAACCAUGUUUUCCAGAACAAAGAGGAAAAAAAUGUUCAAAUCUGAAUUCAUAUCACAAAUGAGGGAAGUCUGGUGAAAGGAUGAUUAAAAAGUCUGUUGCUGGUAGGAUCUACAACCAGUUUGUAGGAACUAUGUAACCUGCUAGGACCUGGGCAUCUAUUUUGGGUCCCACCACCACAGCUAUCAUCAAAAGUGGUUAUUAUCAGCACCUGAAAGCAGGGAGGAGACAGUACAGUGAGGAAAAGCAUCUGACAAGGCCAGCUGGGGCAGAGGAUGGGAAGGAUGGAGACACCUUGGUUUGGAAGGCUAGGAAGCAGGCAAAGACUGGCUGUCACUUCAAAUCACUAACCGGGCCCACUGAUUCCAUCUACAAUCCUAACCCACCUCCUCGGGACUCCCUAUGCCUUCCUACCAGUGAAAUGCGAAAUAGCAGCACCUACCACAGCCAAGAGAGCACUUAACACAACAGCAGUUUAUGGACACGAAGAAGAGAAGGGAGAAUAAAGAGGAAAAUGAUGUUGAUCUAAAAGUCUCACUCUGGUCCCUUUUAUAAUAGAUAUUUUACUUUGAAAUAAACA
Molecule: long non-coding RNA, 1358 nt
Filed under: Homo sapiens (human)
Lineage: Eukaryota; Metazoa; Chordata; Mammalia; Primates; Hominidae
Description: non-protein coding lnc-COX6C-3:1
Source: RNAcentral